RNAcentral lists this ribosomal RNA (169 nucleotides) under uncultured bacterium. RNAcentral's name for it is "partial 16S ribosomal RNA". It matches the Rfam family "Bacterial small subunit ribosomal RNA", at positions 338 to 524 of the family's 1533-position model. The record is from RNAcentral. RNAcentral also lists the same sequence under 1 other name.
CCUACGGGAGGCAGCAGUGGGGAAUAUUGGACAAUGGGCGAAAACCUGAUCCAGCAAUGCCGCGUGAGUGAUGAAGGCCCUAGGGUUGUAAAGCUCUUUUACCCGGGAUGAUAAUGACAGUACCGGGAGAAUAAGCUCCGGCUAACUCCGUGCCAGCAGCCGCGGUAAU